GUCCACGCCCUAAACGAUGUCAACUGGUUGUUGGGAAUUCACUUUCUCAGUAACGAAGCUAACGCGUGAAGUUGACCGCCUGGGAGUACGGCCGCAAGGUUGAACUCAAGGAAUUGACGGGACCCGCACAAGCGGUGGAUGAUGUGGUUUAAUUCGAUGCAACGCGAAACCUUACCCACCUUUGACAUGUACGGAAUUUUCCAGAGAUGGAUCAGUGCUCGAAAGAGAACCGUAACACAGGUGCUGCAUGGCUGUCGU
This 258-nucleotide ribosomal RNA is filed under the name uncultured bacterium. RNAcentral's name for it is "partial 16S ribosomal RNA". It matches the Rfam family "Bacterial small subunit ribosomal RNA", at positions 793 to 1055 of the family's 1533-position model. The record is from RNAcentral.